This 589-nucleotide unclassified non-coding RNA is filed under the name Hevea brasiliensis (rubber tree). The record is from RNAcentral. Lineage: Eukaryota; Viridiplantae; Streptophyta; Magnoliopsida; Malpighiales; Euphorbiaceae.
AACCCUAAUAAACGAGAGCCUAGGCAAAAACCCUAAACCCUGUCCCCUUUUUAGAAAUCCUGCAGAUUCCACAACACCCUAAACCCUUAAGGUAAUCAUGAAGACCGUCACUGGGAAAAUCGUAUCUUCGACUCCAGUUCCCAUCUACAAAGCCGCCUCUAUCAUCUCCAAUUUCGCCUCUUCAGAGACUGGCGCCUCCCAGGCUGUCAACGCAUACCUUCGACGCGCCACCGCUGCCUUCGAUGAGUUAGCUCGCCUGCAUCCAAAACCCGAUCGCAAAAAACACAAGAAACGCAGAAAACACAGAUGGGAUGCUACUGUUACUGUUACUGGUGAAAUACCGGCGGUAAGUGAGGGUCCAAGUCAUGGGUGAUCGGAGGAAAGUAUGCAGUGAAGGAACGAGAGAAAAAAAAGAAGUUAAUGCUUGUUUCAUCAAUUUCAGUAUGUGGGUUUGUCCUAAUUUCCAAAGUAACGUUUUUAUUUGGAAAUUGUUCGCAAGCUUUUAAGGAAAGAUAAUUAAUGGUAGAGAAAUUGUUUCAUCAAACUUGUAUAUUGAUUUUUAGUACCAUUCAUAUCUCUGCAUCUCAUA